UACGUAGGGUGCAAGCGUUGUCCGGAAUUAUUGGGCGUAAAGAGCUCGUAGGCGGUCUGUCGCGUCUGCUGUGAAAACCUAGGGCUUAACUCUGGGCGUGCAGUGGGUACGGGCAGGCUAGAGUGCGGUAGGGGAGACUGGAAUUCCUGGUGUAGCGGUGAAAUGCGCAGAUAUCAGGAGGAACACCGGUGGCGAAGGCGGGUCUCUGGGACGGUACUGACGCUGAGACGCGAAAGCGUGGGGAGCGAACAGG
This 253-nucleotide ribosomal RNA is filed under the name uncultured bacterium. RNAcentral's name for it is "partial 16S ribosomal RNA". It matches the Rfam family "Bacterial small subunit ribosomal RNA", at positions 524 to 776 of the family's 1533-position model. The record is from RNAcentral.